AGCAGCAGCCGCGGUAAUGCGUAGGGUGCAAGCGUUAAUCGGAAUUACUGGGCGUAAAGCGUGCGCAGGCGGUUUGUUAAGGCAGAUGUGAAAUCCCCGGGCUCAACCUGGGAACUGCAUUUGUGACUGGCAAGCUAGAGUGUGGCAGAGGGGGGUGGAAUUCCGCGUGUAGCAGUGAAAUGCGUAGAUAUGCGGAGGAACACCGAUGGCGGAGGCAGCCCCCUGGGCCAACACUGACGCUCAUGCACGAAAGCGUGGGGAGCAAACAGGAUUAGAUACCCCAGUAGUCCCUGUCUCUUAUAC
Molecule: ribosomal RNA, 303 nt
Filed under: uncultured bacterium
Lineage: Bacteria
Description: partial 16S ribosomal RNA
Rfam family: Bacterial small subunit ribosomal RNA
Source: RNAcentral